GAUGAACGCUGGCGGCGUGCCUAAUACAUGCAAGUCGAGCGAACAGACGAGGAGCUUGCUCCUCUGACGUUAGCGGCGGACGGGUGAGUAACACGUGGAUAACCUACCUAUAAGACUGGGAUAACUUCGGGAAACCGGAGCUAAUACCGGAUAAUAUAUUGAACCGCAUGGUUCAAUAGUGAAAGACGGUUUUGCUGUCACUUAUAGAUGGAUCCGCGCCGCAUUAGCUAGUUGGUAAGGUAACGGCUUACCAAGGCGACGAUGCGUAGCCGACCUGAGAGGGUGAUCGGCCACACUGGAACUGAGACAAGGUCCAGACUCCUAAGGGAGGCAGCAGUAGGGAAUCCUCCGGAAUGGGCGAAAGCCUGACGGAGCAACGCCGGGUGAGUGAUGAAGGUUUUCCGAUCGUAAAACUCUGUUAUUAGGGAAGAACAAAUGUGUAAGUAACUAUGCACGUCUUGACGGUACCUAAUCAGAAAGCCACGGCUAACUACGUG
Molecule: ribosomal RNA, 497 nt
Filed under: uncultured bacterium
Lineage: Bacteria
Description: partial 16S ribosomal RNA
Rfam family: Bacterial small subunit ribosomal RNA
Source: RNAcentral